GAUGAACGCUGGCGGCGUGCUUAACACAUGCAAGUCGAACGGAAAGGCCCUGCUUUUGUGGGGUGCUCGAGUGGCGAACGGGUGAGUAACACGUGAGUAACCUCCCCUUGUCAUUCGGAUAUCUCUACGAAACUCGGGCAAAUACCGGGGAUGAGCUCCUGCUGCAUGGUGGGGGAUGGAAAGUUUCGGCGGUUGGGGAUGGAAUCGUUGGUUAUCAGCUGCUUGGUGUGGUAGUGACGUACGAAGGCUUCGAAGGGUAGCCGGCCUGAGAGGAUUACCGGCCACAAUGGGACUAAGAUGCGGCGCAGACUCCUACGGGGGGCAGCGGUGGGGAAGAUUGCAGAGUAGGCGGAAGCCUGGUGCGGCAGCGCUGCGGGCGGAAUUGCAGGCUUUGGGUUGUGAACCUCUUUCUCCUGAGACGGACCGAGAGUGGCGGUAGCGGGUAAGGAAGCACCGGCUAACUCCGUG
RNAcentral lists this ribosomal RNA (468 nucleotides) under uncultured bacterium. Its description in RNAcentral is "partial 16S ribosomal RNA". It matches the Rfam family "Bacterial small subunit ribosomal RNA", at positions 28 to 507 of the family's 1533-position model. The record is from RNAcentral.